Molecule: non-coding RNA, 46 nt
Organism: Aedes aegypti (yellow fever mosquito)
Lineage: Eukaryota; Metazoa; Arthropoda; Insecta; Diptera; Culicidae
Source: Rfam
CGAUCGGCCCUUUUCAGGGCCAACAAACGCGUAUAAAAAUAUUUUG